Molecule: ribosomal RNA, 121 nt
Filed under: uncultured bacterium
Lineage: Bacteria
Description: partial 16S ribosomal RNA
Rfam family: Bacterial small subunit ribosomal RNA
Source: RNAcentral
CGUCGCAUUAGUUAGUUGGCGGUGUAACGGACCACCAAGACGACGAUGCGUAGGGGUUCUGAGAGGAAGGUCCCCCACACUGGUACUGAGACACGGACCAGACUCCUACGGGAGGCAGCAG